AGUGAACGCUGGCGGUAGGCCUAACACAUGCAGGUCGAACGGCAGCACAGUAAGAGCUUGCUCUUACGGGUGGCGAGUGGCGGACGGGUGAGGAAUACAUCGGAAUCUACUUUUUCGUGGGGGAUAACGUAGGGAAACUUACGCUAAUACCGCAUACGACCUACGGGUGAAAGCAGGGGAUCUUCGGACCUUGCGCGAUUGAAUGAGCCGAUGUCGGAUUAGCUAGUUGGCGGGGUAAAGGCCCACCAAGGCGACGAUCCGUAGCUGGUCUGAGAGGAUGAUCAGCCACACUGGAACUGAGACACGGUCCAGACUCCUACGGGAGGCAGCAGUGGGGAAUAUUGGACAAUGGGCGAAAGCCUGAUCCAGCCAUGCCGCGUGGGUGAAGAAGGCCUUCGGGUUGUAAAGCCCUUUUGUUGGGAAAGAAAAGCAGCAGGUUAAUACCCCGCUGUUCUGACGGUACCCAAAGAAUAAGCACCGGCUAACUUCGUG
Molecule: ribosomal RNA, 492 nt
Filed under: uncultured bacterium
Lineage: Bacteria
Description: partial 16S ribosomal RNA
Rfam family: Bacterial small subunit ribosomal RNA
Source: RNAcentral